GACGAACGCUGGCGGCGUGCUUAACACAUGCAAGUCGAACGAAGUGGCGAACGGGUGAGUAAUACGUGGGUAACCUGCCCUCCUUUUUGGGAUAAGCCUUGGAAACGGGGUCUAAUACCGAAUAAAGGGGGAUGGGCUCGCGGCCUAUCAGCUUGUUGGUGGGGUGUUGGCCUACCACGGCGGUGACGGGUAGCCGGCCUGAGAGGGUGACCGGGUACAUUGGGACUGAGAUACGGUCCAGACGUCUACGGGAGGAAGCAGUGGGGGAGAUCGCACAAUGGGCGAAAGCCUGAUGCAGCGACGCCGCGUGGGGGAUGAAGGAUUUCGGGUUGUAAACCUCUUUCGCUACCGAAAGGGUAGGUGGAGAAGAAGCUACGGCUAACUACGUGCCAGCCGCCGCGGUAAUUC
RNAcentral lists this ribosomal RNA (408 nucleotides) under uncultured bacterium. RNAcentral's name for it is "partial 16S ribosomal RNA". It matches the Rfam family "Bacterial small subunit ribosomal RNA", at positions 28 to 526 of the family's 1533-position model. The record is from RNAcentral.